RNAcentral lists this transfer RNA (82 nucleotides) under Nitrosomonas sp. RNAcentral describes it as "tRNA-OTHER". Lineage: Bacteria; Pseudomonadati; Pseudomonadota; Betaproteobacteria; Nitrosomonadales; Nitrosomonadaceae. The record is from RNAcentral.
GGGAAUUAAAAUUACUUAAAAAUAGCGUAUUUUAGAACUUUUAAUCCGUUGGUCGCCAGUUCGAAUCUGGCACGGCCUACCA